CCUUAAACAAAUAAGUUAAUAAAGAAAUUAGAAAUACAAUUGCGAGAUCAAGUGAUUUAGUUAGUCAUCGUGGUUUUAGAUGGCAUUUCCCAGUACAAAGUCUUGUGUAAUACCCAUAUCCUUUUACACCAAAACGAAGCGGGAAAUAUAACUGCUUUAACCCAACUGACAUAAUUAUUUAGAUGGCGAAAGAAGCGGGAAAUAUAACUGUAAGCUAUACAUAACAUGCUGAUUAUGCAUUUCUCACGGAUAUUUGAUACAGAGAAGGUCGUUGUUUUAUCAUCACACCUACAUUCCAUCCUCUAGUUUCCGCCGUAAUUUAUAAUUAAUCUGACAGUGCUCGACAUCAUUUUAAAGUCACUGCUACACCGAC
This 373-nucleotide long non-coding RNA is filed under the name Mytilus galloprovincialis (Mediterranean mussel). The record is from RNAcentral. Lineage: Eukaryota; Metazoa; Mollusca; Bivalvia; Mytilida; Mytilidae.